This is a non-coding RNA of Dermacentor andersoni, 545 nucleotides long. Lineage: Eukaryota; Metazoa; Arthropoda; Arachnida; Ixodida; Ixodidae. The record is from RefSeq and is a predicted model, not a curated record.
GCGCGCGCGCGCGCUCACGAUCGCGGAACAACACAGCACUGGAGAAAGAAGAUCUGUCCAGCGAGCAAAGGCCAGCCGAGGGAGAUCGUGUGUCAGCCAUCUCGCGCCGCCACGAAAACACGACAGUCGUUCGUCAUGCCUUGGAUAUAACAACAAAUCCUCCACGGCACCCGCUUUAUAUAACGCAAGAAGGCAGCUGCAAGGACACGAGGAUGUGAAAGAGCCAGUGCAGCGCGACUUCACGUAGUGCAGAGGAGCCAAUGCCAAAAAAUCAAACUACAUUGGCAUGUUAUUUGGACAAGAAAACUAGUAUGGACAACCCAGCACGUGCAUUUCUCAGCACCCAGUCAACUGCCAAAAGUGACUCAAACACAGGCCACCAGUGGAGCUCGGCUGUACCACUGCAGUGCUGCGGAAAUUGCCUUCACCAGCGGCUUUGCAACAGCUGUUUCGCAGCGUGUCGGAGACAAUGCCUACGAAAUUAUUGGCCCUGAUCAUGAGCCCUCAAGGGGCAAACAACAUCUCUGUUGCAGAAGUGAGCCCGA